Molecule: unclassified non-coding RNA, 334 nt
Filed under: Puccinia graminicola
Lineage: Eukaryota; Fungi; Basidiomycota; Pucciniomycetes; Pucciniales; Pucciniaceae
Source: RNAcentral
CAUUUUUUUUUGAUGUUGUUUACUUCAGGGCUAGUUGGGGUAGUAGGACUUAGGCGUUCCAAAAACUAUACUGUAAAUUUUUUUUACAUGUAAAAUUUGUCCUAUAGUGGGGACUUAGAGAGAAUUUGGAAUAAUUAUACUGUAAAUUUUUUUUACAUGUAAAAUUGGUCCUAUGGAGGGGACUUAUGGGUGCAAUAAUUAUACUGUAAAUUUUUUUUACAUGUAAAAUUUGUCAGAGCUAGUUGAUAGAGGUGUUGCAGCCAAGGACCAUAUUUUUGUGUUACACUUUCAGCUUCCCAGCUAUACCAUCUUCAACACAAGGAGAAAGUCCCCG